UGUAAUCUAAAAAAUAUUUUCAAAAAUCUCAUCGAGUUCGUGUCGGAUCCUUCAAAAGUAGUGAAUUUUUGAAGGAUCUAAUACGGGUGCCACAACAUUUUUCAAGAGUCCGAGCAACUUAGGACUGAUUUCUUAGAUUAAUACUCUCCUUUUGUUUCUUAUGAGAGGAUAUACAAGUACAUAGUUUCUGAAGGAUCGGUUAAUGAAAAAUAUGAGUAAAGUAGUUGGGAGGAUGUACUUUUUUGUUAUUUUAAAUUGCUAUUUUUAGAUAUUUUGAUUUGAUCAUACGUGAUUUGGUCAAUUUUGAUCUGCAGUGGGAGGAUCGUCAGUAGAAAGGCCUCUUUUGCUAGGAUGUCACCGCUUGCGAAACCAAGGUUGAUUAUCAUUACUCUUUUUUUUUUUUUUUUUUUUUUUGUUUUUUUUUUUUUUUUUUUUUUUUUUUUUUUUUUUGGUUAUUGUAAUUGAUAAGGUUUUUUUUUCCAGUUUUAGUUGUUGCGUACACGUUCUGCUUUAGUUAUUGCCAGUUAGAUAGACUUGGUUGUAAAAAAGCUGGCUUGACAAAAUCUAUCUACGGGACUAUUCAAUGUAUUACUAUUAAUUGUUCAGAAGAUAAUACUUGUUCCGUCCAUAUUUACUUGUUCAUAUUUCACUUGACACACCCUUACGAAGCAAUAAAUACAGUGGUAUGGGAAAUAAAUAGUACAUAAUUGUAAGGAGAAAAAUAGGUAUAUUAUCUCUUGUUUUUCCAAACUAGACAAGUAAAAGUAAAAGUAUAUUUUUAGUAUAGUGACAAGUAAACAUGGAUGGAGGGAGUACUAACUACUAUGAUAACAGGAAAUGAGUAGGGUAAUAUUGAAAUGGUGGAAGAUCAUGUAAUUCUGGUAAUUUGGAUCACGUCUUUGGGGGUUAACAUGGUUAUUGAUCACAAACAUCAAAAUACACAAAGGGUUGAAUCAAUUCUCAGGUUUAUAAACCAAGGUUAAGGAAUAUGUACUCAUUUAUGUUAAUAUUAUAACAUAGUGAGUGGUUAAUAUGAAGUGUUGAAAAUUGGACUAGCAUUUGUUGUCGGUGUGUGGAAGUGUGUGUUGUGAUAUUUCUCAGGACUUGCUUUUCAAGUUGUUGCUUCGGAGUCUUACUGAUUCUUACUGGAAAGAAAGGAUGCUUCAUUUGAGAAUCGACAAUUUAAUUUGAAAAUAAAGGGUUGUAGGUGAUUCCUGGAGAAUAUGGGUUUCGUUGCUCAACUGAAUGAGGGAAGGCACCUCAAGAAGAGGCCAACUGAGUUUCUUAGCUUGUUUACACAUAUUCUGUAACUAUUUAAGUAAGUAGAAACUGGUUAAUGAGUAUAUUGGUUAUUAAUGCCACAGGUGAGUCCCGUCGAGUAUGGACACUUGCUUUUGAUCGGCCUUCUGGUAACGCAUUGCAAGUAUGAUUUCCAAGUCUUAUUUGGUUUUUACUCUUCAAUUUUCCACCAUUAAUAGCAAAGUACUAUUGCAGCGCCUUUUACUUCGAAAAAAAAAAAAAUAGGUGCAUUCUUGAUUUGUGUGUGUCAUAUAUUCUUCCACAGAAAUCGUGUUGAUCUUCUCUACAUCGUUCUAAUUUAUCGGAUGUCCUCGAAAGGACACCUUUUACUUUCUGAAAUGUAGGAAUGGUUUAAACGUUUAAUAAGUUCUUGGCAAUUGGUGGAAGGUUAAAUACACUUGCUUUGAUAGCUCAUUCUUAAUUACAAUAUGGUGCAUAUAGAAGAUUAUUAUAGAAUAGAACUAGCCAUUAAACUACAAGUGUUACAGUUUUAGAGUACAUUAAGAGAAAAAGCACAAACUAUACAAGCACUCCAUUAUAUAUAGUGCUUGAUAGAGCAACAGCACGUACAUUCACCACUUAAUCCAACAUUUUACUAAAUCAACUUGUCUCAUAGCACAAACAGCGGUAAGCUUGCUUACCGUGGUGUGCCAGGGUCGGGGGUUCGAAACGCCCCUCAAGCGAAGCUGGGGUGAGGGCGAGUAGGUCAGGCCCGGAGUGGUUCCCCCCUCCCCGACACCUACGGAGUAGGUAUGAACCGGGUCGUCCCUUUUUCAUAGCACAAACAGAACUGGAUUACACAUUUAAUAUAACAACAACAAAAAGGGAUUUCAGGAAAAAAAUUUAUUGCAUUUAAUCAGAUUUGAAGGGAGUUGUAGAUCCAUCAACUUUGUCUUCCAUUCUCAAUUUCUCCCUCCUCUGUCAUCAUUCACAAAACAAGACACAAGUUAGAUAAUUCAACAUGCUGUCUAUUUUUAGAUAGACCACUCUAUAAUAUUCGAAAAAAAUUUCAUGUUCUGUUAUAUUAUAUGUUCUCUAUGAUAACAUUUUGUUAUAGCAGUCAACCAAUCACAAAGUAUUUGAACAAACGACGUUUGUAUAAAGAGAUUUUUUGUAUUUCUUUCUGCCUUAGGAAAAAGAAAUCAGAAUCCUUCUAUAUUGAUUCUUUGUUUGAUUUAAAGGAUUACUCAGGCACAAGCCAAUUAAUGUGACGUUUCUUUGACCUUAAGUUCAUCAAUUUGUAUUUGUCUUAGAAAUCAAGAUGUUAUGAAGAUGUUUUCGGACAAAGGCAUUCUCACAGAAAACUCCUUUAAAAGUUACAGAGACAAGUGAUGUGGUUAUUACAAUGUUACCAUCACGAAACCAUGUGAGAGUUGCAUACCAUUUUUAUAGCUCUUAUUGUAUCACACACACUCAUAUUUCUAAGGCUGAUUAAUUAUCCUGAAUCCUUCAUCAUUGAUGUCAAUGUAUCCCUGUC
This 2776-nucleotide long non-coding RNA is filed under the name Capsicum annuum. RNAcentral describes it as "long non-coding RNA (CANN_LNC010520)". Lineage: Eukaryota; Viridiplantae; Streptophyta; Magnoliopsida; Solanales; Solanaceae. The record is from RNAcentral.